CAAAAAGGGCUCCCUUAGAGUACUAAGGAUGUUUUGGGUGCUUAAAACCUUCCCAUUUCAUAACCAACCCCCUUAAUGCACAAAUAUUUUCACAAAUACCAACCUACAAUACACACUUGCAAAAAGGGCUCCCUUAGAGUACUAAGGAUGUUUUGGGUGCUUAAAACCUUCCCAUUUCAUAACCAACCCCCUUACCCAGAUCUUUGACAUUUUU
RNAcentral lists this long non-coding RNA (214 nucleotides) under Lathyrus oleraceus (garden pea). RNAcentral describes it as "Pisum sativum (pea) long non-coding RNA (PSAT_LNC032748)". The record is from RNAcentral. Lineage: Eukaryota; Viridiplantae; Streptophyta; Magnoliopsida; Fabales; Fabaceae.